GAUGAACGCUAGCGACAGGCUUAACACAUGCAAGUCGAGGGGCAGCACAGGUAGCAAUACCGGGUGGCGACCGGCGCACGGGUGAGUAACGCGUAUGCAACUUGCCUAUCAGAGGGGGAUAACCCGGCGAAAGUCGGACUAAUACCGCAUGAAGCAGGGGCCCCGCAUGGGGAUAUUUGCUAAAGAUUCAUCGCUGAUAGAUAGGCAUGCGUUCCAUUAGGCAGUUGGCGGGGUAACGGCCCACCAAACCGACGAUGGAUAGGGGUUCUGAGAGGAAGGUCCCCCACAUUGGUACUGAGACACGGACCAAACUCCUACGGGAGGCAGCAGUGAGGAAUAUUGGUCAAUGGCCGAGAGGCUGAACCAGCCAAGUCGCGUGAGGGAUGAAGGUUCUAUGGAUCGUAAACCUCUUUUAUAAGGGAAUAAAGUGCGGGACGUGUCCCGUUUUGUAUGUACCUUAUGAAUAAGGAUCGGCUAACUCCGUGCCAGCAGCCGCGGUAAUACGGAGGAUCCGAGCGUUAUCCGGAUUUAUUGGGUUUAAAGGGUGCGUAGGCGGCCUUUUAAGUCAGCGGUGAAAGUCUGUGGCUCAACCAUAGAAUUGCCGUUGAAACUGGGAGGCUUGAGUAUGUUUGAGGCAGGCGGAAUGCGUGGUGUAGCGGUGAAAUGCUUAGAUAUCACGCAGAACCCCGAUUGCGAAGGCAGCCUGCCAAGCCAUGACUGACGCUGAUGCACGAAAGCGUGGGGAUCAAACAGGAUUAGAUACCCUGGUAGUCCACGCAGUAAACGAUGAUCACUAGCUGUUUGCGAUACACUGUAAGCGGCACAGCGAAAGCGUUAAGUGAUCCACCUGGGGAGUACGCCGGCAACGGUGAAACUCAAAGGAAUUGACGGGGGCCCGCACAAGCGGAGGAACAUGUGGUUUAAUUCGAUGAUACGCGAGGAACCUUACCCGGGUUUGAACGCAUUCGGACCGAGGUGGAAACACCUUUUCUAGCAAUAGCCGUUUGCGAGGUGCUGCAUGGUUGUCGUCAGCUCGUGCCGUGAGGUGUCGGCUUAAGUGCCAUAACGAGCGCAACCCUUGCCACUAGUUACUAACAGGUAAAGCUGAGGACUCUGGUGGGACUGCCAGCGUAAGCUGCGAGGAAGGCGGGGAUGACGUCAAAUCAGCACGGCCCUUACAUCCGGGGCGACACACGUGUUACAAUGGCGUGGACAAAGGGAAGCCACCUGGCGACAGGGAGCGAAUCCCCAAACCACGUCUCAGUUCGGAUCGGAGUCUGCAACCCGACUCCGUGAAGCUGGAUUCGCUAGUAAUCGCGCAUCAGCCACGGCGCGGUGAAUACGUUCCCGGGCCUUGUACACACCGCCCGUCAAGCCAUGGGAGCCGGGGGUACCUGAAGUCCGUAACCGCGAGGAUCGGCCUAGGGUAAAACUGGUGACUGGGGCU
This 1447-nucleotide ribosomal RNA is filed under the name uncultured bacterium. RNAcentral's name for it is "bacterial SSU rRNA". It matches the Rfam family "Bacterial small subunit ribosomal RNA". The record is from RNAcentral.